UGUUUAUUAAAAAAAAUCAAAAGUGUCCAUAAUGACAAAAAGUUUUUUUUAUUUUUUAAGAGAAAGGUAGCAUGCUAUCCGUUUCGUUUAUUUCGUUGAGAAAUAAAUUUAGCUGAAAAUAUGCAUCAACUAGGAUUCGAAUUUGGGUCUCGAAUACCAACCACCAAAUCCUUUUGCCACUUGUGCUAGGGACGGUCAGUAUAAUGACAAAAAGUUAAAAAAGGAUUUGUACCAUAUAGAUAGAAUAUCGGAUAAUGUGAAGAUUUUAAUAUAAACUUCUUCUAAGCCCCAUUCGUAUGUAGGCCAUUUUGAAAUUGAUUCUUCAGCUUUUCUUUUUGGAAACACCCCUCAACUUUUUAGGGUGUUUUUUCUAAUCUAAGUUAGAUAACUAAAUUACUAACUCUAUUAACUAUUAAAAUCAUUAAUAUUAACAAAUUAUGGAAAUAACCGACCGUCCCUAGUGCAAGUGGCAAAAGGCUUCGUGGUUGGUAUUCGAGACCCAAGUUCGAAUCCUAGUUGAUUCACAUUUCCAGCUAAGUUUAUUUCUAAAUGAAAUAAACGAAACGGGUAGCAUGCUACCUUUCUCUCAAAAAAAAAAAAAAAAAAA
RNAcentral lists this long non-coding RNA (607 nucleotides) under Ananas comosus (pineapple). Its description in RNAcentral is "long non-coding RNA (ACOM_LNC016845)". The record is from RNAcentral. Lineage: Eukaryota; Viridiplantae; Streptophyta; Magnoliopsida; Poales; Bromeliaceae.